This 505-nucleotide ribosomal RNA is filed under the name uncultured bacterium. RNAcentral's name for it is "bacterial SSU rRNA". It matches the Rfam family "Bacterial small subunit ribosomal RNA", at positions 975 to 1482 of the family's 1533-position model. The record is from RNAcentral.
CUGGGCUCGAAAUGUAGUGGACCGGGGUGGAAACAUCCCUUCCCGCAAGGGCCGCUAUAUAGGUGCUGCAUGGCUGUCGUCAGCUCGUGUCGUGAGAUGUUGGGUUAAGUCCCGCAACGAGCGCAACCCUUAUUGCCAGUUGCCAUCAUUUAGUUGGGCACUCUGGCGAAACCGCCCCGGAUAACGGGGAGGAAGGUGGGGAUGACGUCAAGUCCUCAUGGCCUUUAUGUCCAGGGCUACACACGUGCUACAAUGGGUGGUACAAACCGUCGCAAACCCGCGAGGGGGAGCUAAUCGGAAAAAGCCAUCCUCAGUUCGGAUUGGAGUCUGCAACUCGACUCCAUGAAGCUGGAAUCGCUAGUAAUCGCGGAUCAGAACGCCGCGGUGAAUACGUUCCCGGGCCUUGUACACACCGCCCGUCACAUCACGAAAGUGGGUUGUACUAGAAGUCGUCGUGCCAACCGCAAGGAGGCAGACGCCCAAGGUAUAAUUCAUGAUUGGGGUG